Molecule: ribosomal RNA, 453 nt
Filed under: Plasmodium vivax (malaria parasite P. vivax)
Lineage: Eukaryota; Apicomplexa; Aconoidasida; Haemosporida; Plasmodiidae
Description: SSU rRNA
Rfam family: Eukaryotic small subunit ribosomal RNA
Source: RNAcentral
ACGAACGAGAUCUUAACCUGCUAAUUAGCGGUAAGUACGACAUAUUUUUAUGUCGGAUUGGAUCUGGAUGAUUUGCUUAUAUUGAGGUGCAAUCUAAAUAGGGGAUUGCAAUUAUACUUGGUGUCGGUGUUUCUUAAUCGAAUAGCUGAUGCGUUUGGUAUAUUGCUUUCCUUUUUUUUUAUUUCUGCGCUUCUUUACUUGGCUUAUCGUACCGUUUCCUUUUUGUGUAGAAAUGUAUUUGCAUUAUAUUAAAGCUUCUUAGAGGAACGAUGUGUGUCUAACACAAGGAAGUUUAAGGCAACAACAGGUCUGUGAUGUCCUUAGAUGAACUAGGCUGCACGCGUGCUACACUGAUAUGUACAACGAGUUAUUAAAAUUACGAUUCAGCUUGCUGUUUCGUAUUUUUCCUCCACUGAAAAGUGUAGGUAAUCUUUAUCAUUACAUAUCGUGAUG